UCCACAAGAAGACUUCAGAAUUUGGAACAGGGAACAAACAGGGGAAUAUACAGUGAGGAGUGGCUACAGAUGGCUUAAAAAGGAAAUAUCAAAACUAAACACUACGACGACAAAUAUUAUAGAUAUAAAUACAUUCUUCCACAAAGAGCUUUGGCAAACAGAUCUACCAGGAAAAAUAAAAAUUACAAACUGGAGGGUGUACAAUGGCUAUAUUCUUACAAUGGGAAAUCUACAUUACAAACGAAUAUGCAACAAUGCUAUGUGCCCAUGCUAUAGAGAAAUGGCAGAAUCCAUGGAACACACCUUCAGAGAUUGCCAAGCAGUAAAAAAAAAUAUGAUAGGAGUUAGGGUUCCUCGAUUACUAAAGAGAUGGAAGAGAAUGACUUCAAUAGUGGUUAAGCGAAAUACUUACCAAAACGACUAGUGCUCAAAGGAAAGUUAUAUUUUGUAGCAUCUGGGGAAUAUGGAUGCGGAGGAAUAAGAUCCUGCAUGAGAAAAAAACCCUAUCAGCAGAAGACACUGUAAAGUUC
This 530-nucleotide long non-coding RNA is filed under the name Gossypium barbadense (sea-island cotton). RNAcentral describes it as "long non-coding RNA (GBAR_LNC015646)". Lineage: Eukaryota; Viridiplantae; Streptophyta; Magnoliopsida; Malvales; Malvaceae. The record is from RNAcentral.